This 253-nucleotide ribosomal RNA is filed under the name uncultured bacterium. RNAcentral's name for it is "partial 16S ribosomal RNA". It matches the Rfam family "Bacterial small subunit ribosomal RNA", at positions 524 to 776 of the family's 1533-position model. The record is from RNAcentral.
UACGUAGGUGGCAAGCGUUGUCCGGAAUCACUGGGCGUAAAGGGCGUGUAGGCGGUCCGCUAAGUCUGAUGUGAAAGCCCGGGGCUCACCCCCGGAAGGGCAUUGGAAACUGGCGGACUCGAGUCCCGGAGAGGAAGGUGGAAUUCCUGGUGUAGCGGUGAAAUGCGUAGAUAUCAGGAGGAAUACCGGUGGCGAAGGCGGCCUUCUGGACGGUGACUGACGCUGAGACGCGAAAGCGUGGGGAGCAAACAGG